CCUACGGGGGGCUGCAGUGGGGAAUAUUGGACAAUGGGCGAAAGCCUGAUCCAGCCAUGCCGCGUGUGUGAAGAAGGCCUUCGGGUUGUAAAGCACUUUCAGUGGGGAAGAAAGCCUUGGGGCUAAUACCCUCGAGGAAGGACAUCACCCACAGAAGAAGCACCGGCUAACUCCGUGCCAGCAGCCGCGGUAAUACGGAGGGUGCGAGCGUUAAUCGGAAUUACUGGGCGUAAAGCGCGCGUAGGCGGUCUGAUAAGCCGGUUGUGAAAGCCCCGGGCUCAACCUGGGAACGGCAUCCGGAACUGUCAGGCUAGAGUGCAGGAGAGGAAGGUAGAAUUCACGGUGUAGCGGUGAAAUGCGUAGAGAUCGGGAGGAAUACCAGUGGCGAAGGCGGCCUUCUGGACUGACACUGACGCUGAGGUGCGAAAGCGUGGGUAGCAAACAGGAUUAGAUACCCGUGUAGUC
RNAcentral lists this ribosomal RNA (465 nucleotides) under Vreelandella stevensii. RNAcentral describes it as "partial 16S ribosomal RNA". It matches the Rfam family "Bacterial small subunit ribosomal RNA", at positions 338 to 795 of the family's 1533-position model. The record is from RNAcentral. Lineage: Bacteria; Pseudomonadati; Pseudomonadota; Gammaproteobacteria; Oceanospirillales; Halomonadaceae.